GAUGAAGAACGCAGCGAACUGCGAUAAGUAAUGUGAAUUGCAGAAUUCAGUGAAUCAUCGAGUCUUUGAACGCACAUUGCGCCCCCUGGCAUUCCGGGGGGCAUGCCUGUCCGAGCGUCAUUUCUGCCCUCAAGCACGGCUUGUGUGUUGGGUGUGGUCCCCCCGGGGACCUGCCCGAAAGGCAGCGGCGACGUCCGUCUGGUCCUCGAGCGUAUGGGGCUCUGUCACUCGCUCGGGAAGGACCUGCGGGGGUUGGUCACCACUAUAUUUUACCACGGUUGACCUCGGAUCAGGUAGGAGUUACCCGCUGAACUUAAGCAUAUCAAUAAGCGGAGGA
RNAcentral lists this unclassified non-coding RNA (337 nucleotides) under soil metagenome. RNAcentral's name for it is "partial contains 5.8S ribosomal RNA, internal transcribed spacer 2, and large subunit ribosomal RNA". The stretch from base 1 to 120 matches the Rfam family "5.8S ribosomal RNA", at positions 35 to 154 of the family's 154-position model. The record is from RNAcentral.